CAGAAUUGGAGGCAAUUCAAAGAAAUUCAGCAUCCCAAAAGAGUGUCAUUGUCUCUCAGUGGACCAACAUGCUGAAAGUUGUAGCAUUGCACCUUAAGAAGCAUGGACUGACUUAUGCCACCAUCGAUGGCUCUGUCAACCCCAAGCAGAGAAUGGACUUGGUAGAGGCAUUUAACCACUCCAGAGGCCCUCAGGUAAUGCUAAUCUCUCUCUUGGCUGGAGGUGUUGGUCUAAACCUGACUGGAGGAAAUCACCUCUUUCUUUUGGACAUGCACUGAGAUAGAGAAAUGUUAUCCAAGAUUUUAAAGUGGAAUCCAUCACUUGAAGAUCAAGCUUGUGACCGAAUUUACCGAGUAGGGCAGCAGAAAGAUGUUGUCAUACACAAAUUUGUUUGUGAGGGAACAGUAGAAGAAAAGAUCUUACAGCUCCAAGAAAAAAAGAAAGAUUUGGCCAAACAAGUUCUAUCAGGGUCUGGAGAAUCUGUCACCAAGCUCACCUUGGCUGACCUCAGAGUCCUUUUUGGCAUCUAACCUCCUGUGGAUAAGGGUUCAGAAUAGCACCAUUGCUGGUUUGUAUUAAGGUCUGGGAAUAACAACCUAACCAUGAGCCUUGAACUCUGUUCUUUGCAUUUCAAUUUCACCGUCAAGCCUUUCACCUUCCUC
RNAcentral lists this small RNA (662 nucleotides) under Pongo abelii (Sumatran orangutan). Its description in RNAcentral is "processed transcript". Lineage: Eukaryota; Metazoa; Chordata; Mammalia; Primates; Hominidae. The record is from RNAcentral.